RNAcentral lists this ribosomal RNA (977 nucleotides) under Enterococcus faecium. Its description in RNAcentral is "bacterial SSU rRNA". It matches the Rfam family "Bacterial small subunit ribosomal RNA", at positions 60 to 1007 of the family's 1533-position model. Lineage: Bacteria; Bacillati; Bacillota; Bacilli; Lactobacillales; Enterococcaceae. The record is from RNAcentral.
AGUCGAACGCUUCUUUUUCCACCGGAGCUUGCUCCACCGGAAAAAGAAGAGUGGCGAACGGGUGAGUAACACGUGGGUAACCUGCCCAUCAGAAGGGGAUAACACUUGGAAACAGGUGCUAAUACCGUAUAACAAUCAAAACCGCAUGGUUUUGAUUUGAAAGGCGCUUUCGGGUGUCGCUGAUGGAUGGACCCGCGGUGCAUUAGCUAGUUGGUGAGGUAACGGCUCACCAAGGCCACGAUGCAUAGCCGACCUGAGAGGGUGAUCGGCCACAUUGGGACUGAGACACGGCCCAAACUCCUACGGGAGGCAGCAGUAGGGAAUCUUCGGCAAUGGACGAAAGUCUGACCGAGCAACGCCGCGUGAGUGAAGAAGGUUUUCGGAUCGUAAAACUCUGUUGUUAGAGAAGAACAAGGAUGAGAGUAACUGUUCAUCCCUUGACGGUAUCUAACCAGAAAGCCACGGCUAACUACGUGCCAGCAGCCGCGGUAAUACGUAGGUGGCAAGCGUUGUCCGGAUUUAUUGGGCGUAAAGCGAGCGCAGGCGGUUUCUUAAGUCUGAUGUGAAAGCCCCCGGCUCAACCGGGGAGGGUCAUUGGAAACUGGGAGACUUGAGUGCAGAAGAGGAGAGUGGAAUUCCAUGUGUAGCGGUGAAAUGCGUAGAUAUAUGGAGGAACACCAGUGGCGAAGGCGGCUCUCUGGUCUGUAACUGACGCUGAGGCUCGAAAGCGUGGGGAGCAAACAGGAUUAGAUACCCUGGUAGUCCACGCCGUAAACGAUGAGUGCUAAGUGUUGGAGGGUUUCCGCCCUUCAGUGCUGCAGCUAACGCAUUAAGCACUCCGCCUGGGGAGUACGACCGCAAGGUUGAAACUCAAAGGAAUUGACGGGGGCCCGCACAAGCGGUGGAGCAUGUGGUUUAAUUCGAAGCAACGCGAAGAACCUUACCAGGUCUUGACAUCCUUUGACCACUCUAGAGAU